GGAUCAUACAAUCAUAUUUUAGAUUUUAGUACACUUGCAUUUGGGUCUUGCUCUUUGUGCAGGCCAACAGCAACAAGCACUGCCCUUGGUGGUAACAGGGAGCCAGUAAUUGCAUUUCUCAUCACAUCACAUUGUAUAAUAUGACAAAAACUCAAACUAUUAAUUAACUAAAUAUCUAAUGAAUAAUGUAAAUAAAACUGAAGUCAAUCAAACCAACUGAAAACAAAGAAAAAUCGUUCAUUCGUUCGUUCGUUCCGUUUGUUACCUCAGCAGUCACAAUUUUAAAAUUCAACAUACACAUAUAUUUAUUUUUCUUUAUAUAUAUUCUUAUAUAUAUAUAUAAACAAAUUAAAAUAAAAACAAAAUAAUUCCUACCAAAACAAACCAAUAACCGAAGAAAAAUUAAAAAUCAAACAAACCCAAAAAGAGUUAUCAAAUCGCCACAAUAAAAAUCAGUUUCAUCAACUCAAUGAUUUUGUAGAACUCGUUCAAAAUCCUAAGGACCUGGACAAUCGGAUCUAUAAUUAUUUCUCAACGCCAUAGAAAUCAAUUAUAGCUGACAGACUACUGGAAUCGUGUGUAUGUCUUAGUUUAAGCACCAGGAAACUUAGGAUUACCAUAAUCAAAUAAUUUGGGAACGGGCCCUGCAAUAACAGUUUUUAGUGAAAUUUCUUAAAACUAACUUCAGCAUUGUAUUUGAUGAAAUGAUGAGAAAAUCUUGUAUUUUCUCUAAUUGUUAAACGCGAUUUGAAAGCAGCACUAAAACCUCUAACACAAUUUUCGAAAACCAAUAGCGAGAGCGAAUCAUUACUAAUCCUAGCACUUAAACGUAUAAAUAAAAAUGAAAACAGUUACACGAGACAGUUAACAGACGAAAUAACAACAAUGAGGUAACAACGAAACGAAAACAACAAACGCAAUGACAAGUAAAUCGACCAAUCAUACAAAAGAUGAAUCCGGAUAAACGAAAAGCGCAUAUUACAACGAUUUAUAUUAUUAAUAAAUAUACAAAAAACUGUUUAAGAAACCUCUGAGGACUUUUAAAUACUUUCAUCAGCUUUUAACAAGGUUCUUUUUGUUUAUGUCAUAGUUAUUUAUAUGAAACAAGAAACAUAAAUAUGGUAUUCGUAUGCAUACGAAUGUGUUAUCUAAUUUUUUGACUACUAUUAUUAUUUUAUACUUCUAUAUUUUGUGUUGUAUAAUUUUUUAUGCAGUGACAUUUUAGUAAAUAAAGAAAUAUAUAAAACAAA
This is a long non-coding RNA of Drosophila sulfurigaster albostrigata, 1250 nucleotides long. RefSeq lists it as uncharacterized. The record is from RefSeq and is a predicted model, not a curated record. The transcript is spliced from 2 exons. Lineage: Eukaryota; Metazoa; Arthropoda; Insecta; Diptera; Drosophilidae.